RNAcentral lists this long non-coding RNA (247 nucleotides) under Salvia miltiorrhiza (redroot sage). RNAcentral describes it as "long non-coding RNA (SMIL_LNC004680)". The record is from RNAcentral. Lineage: Eukaryota; Viridiplantae; Streptophyta; Magnoliopsida; Lamiales; Lamiaceae.
AAUUAUAUAAGAUGCAUGUUGUAGAUGAGCAUGAGCAGACCCCCACCCUUCAAAGAAUGGUUGAAACAUCAUCUUGAGGGCCCUUAUUUCCCUCUCUGUCUAGACAGUUGCAUUUAAGUCUUAGUGUCUUUCUAUAUGAUUUUUGAACUUUGAAGACCCCUCUGAUGGCCCUCUUGCAUAUCUCUUGGUGUUUUGGACCACUGGUUAGAGAGAUAGAGAGAGAGAGAUGGCUUUCCUUCUAUUGUGG